Molecule: unclassified non-coding RNA, 306 nt
Filed under: plant metagenome
Description: partial contains 5.8S ribosomal RNA, internal transcribed spacer 2, and large subunit ribosomal RNA
Rfam family: 5.8S ribosomal RNA (bases 1-105)
Source: RNAcentral
GAAAUGCGAUAAGUAAUGUGAAUUGCAGAAUUCAGUGAAUCAUCGAAUCUUUGAACGCACAUUGCGCCCGCCAGUAUUCUGGCGGGCAUGCCUGUCCGAGCGUCAUUUCAACCAUCAAGCCCCCGGGCUUGUGUUGGGGACCUGCGGCUGCCCGCAGGCCCUGAAAACCAGUGGCGGGCUCGCUGUCACACCGAGCGUAGUAGCAAUCACCUCGCUCAGGGCGUGCUGCGGGUUCCGGCCGUUAAACAGCCUUACUAAACCCAAGGUUGACCUCGGAUCAGGUAGGAAGACCCGCUGAACUUAAGC